GAACAUUUAAACACCAUCAUUUCGUUGAGGAAUGCAAGUGGGAGUGGCUCAAAUGCCAUGGUGAAGGGGCCUAGCAGCACACGUGACAAUGUGACACUCUUGUGGGAGACUGAACAGGGCCACUGGUGAUUGAACCAAAUAUCAGGCCGGUCUGCUUAUCAGAUAUUUGGGAUUAAAGGCAUGCUUAAGGAUGGCAGAGACAACAUGAAAUUUGUCUUUUCAAACUAAUUGGGAAGGGAUCCUCAAACAGAGUGGAGUUCUUGGCUAUUGGAACCGACGAGGAGGUUUUCGUGAAUUGAUAGCAGACGGAGACUCUAUAAUGCUGUCUCUUAAGCCUCUAGGAAGUGCAUUCCUGCUUUGAAGCUGAGCCCUAUCUUGAAUGAAUUAAGGUUGUGCUCUUGCUUCUUAGAAAUCUGGCCCAUGUGUAAAAUCCCAGUAGUUCUUUUAAUUGUAUUGUUGACUUUCUUGCAGAGCAAAAUAUUGGGGUGUGCUAAUUUCACACGGAAGCCCUGCCAUCCACAUGCAGGCAGAUGUUCCACUCUUAAGAUCUUCUGCUCUAAAAUCAGGCCACCGACAAACAAGAUGAAUGGAUGAGUAGAAUUUUCGAGGGGCAUCCUUGUCUGCAGAUACCUAUUCAUGGCAACAUACGGAAGCUUAAGUGAAGAUAUCGACUUUCUGAUGGCUCAAUGAGAUGCCACCUACUUGGUGGAAUUUUCAGAUACAGGUUGAACCUCGAACUCCAAUUCACCAUUGACAAAUGGGAUACAAUUUUUCUCCUUCCAAUAAAUACCAUUCUAUGUUCGGAUCUGACCGAUCUUCCAUUCAAUACAACAGCUUGGACUAGAGAAGCUAGACCUGGGGCCUCUCAUCCAUGUUCAAGUCUCUGAGGGAAAAGGGGGAUACAAGUCAAAGUAAAGGUUGUCUUCUCUGCAAUUGAGGGCCUAUGACUCAGUUCAUUCAUGGAUGAGGCCCGCUUGACUGCAUGGUCAAAUGAUCAAGACCAGCACCCAUCUGCUUGCCCCUACCGUUGUGGAUGAUUGUACAGAAGACUCACUUGAGCUGCCUAAUUAAGCUGCAUAGUCAGAUUAUGAAGACAACACGUCUGCUCACAUCUAUCGCUUGUGGGUUAUUGUAAACAAAACAUGUGGAUUGGAGAAUCCUACCUGUCUGAUUUUCUCUACUGAGUGUAGACUAUUGGCUGAAUGUUUUCAUCACCUGUUUGCUUGAAGGUUGUUACUGAGAAAGAUAUGAUUGUCCUAUUGAUUUGAUAUUUAUAUAGUUGACUGUCAACCAUAGGACUUAUAAGAUUGACAUACCAGAUAAUACACAUACACCCGUGAGCUGUGCAGGCCCAGUCAAGCAGUGGACCCUUAGACAUAAGGGCAAGCUCCAAAUUGAAAAUGAGUCAAUAGGUCUCUUGUUUGUUAAGGGUGGGCAAUUUUGUCUUCAAAUGGGAUUCUUCAAAUUGAGCAUAGAUGUUCCUCAUCGCUUGUGAGUUCAUCAGCUAGCUAGGCUUCAUAAAUAGCUUUUGGGAAGGAAUGGUCACUUUACUAGCUGUUUGUAGCUUUAUACAUUUGUUCAGUUAGAAAGCCAAUGUAUGUAAAACAGAUCUGCAGUAUAACUGUUAUGCUUAUUACAAGUAAUCAAACCGGUUUUAUGUGUGAUGUUUAUGUUAAGGAAUUGAUCAGCCAUUGUAUUUAUUGUUUGGUUGUGGAUAUCUCUGUUUAACCUUUUGUUCAUACUAUGAAAUUUGCUGAGUUCAGUACAUUGUUGACUCAAUUCAGUUCAAUGUUGAUUCAAUUCUGUUUAACCUUUUGUGUCUAUUGUUGCAAUAUUCUUGUUUGUUUACAUUAUUUGCCCCUCUUUAAAUCCUGGAUUCUUUAAGAUUUGUAAGAUCUGUUCUAAUGGGAUGCUUUUCUCUUCUAGGCUAGUCUUCUUUCAGUAAUUUGAGUAGUCCUUGAAAGAUAUUCAGUGAUAAGUGGCCGAGAAGAGCAAAAAGAAAUCAUUCAUAAGGCAGGAUCACAAGAUUGAUGUAAAAUGUUUUUUCAAUGAAAGGAAUUGGGAAAUCGGUUACAACGGUUGUAAGGAAUGCUCAGUGAUGUGAAGUGUAGAUUGAGCUGUUGGACCAUACCAGGAAGUGUCAAGAAUGCAGCCCAAGUUGGAGCAGUGGAAGAACAUGUAGUGAUCUUUUUUAUUCAAAAAAAAAAAUACUAGGUAAUUCUAUCUUCUCUAUUUUCAAGAUGUGUAUGCUAUUUCUAAUGUAGUUUAAGCCCCAUAGGCGGUAGCUUUUGCCAUAUUAUCUCUGUAACUAAGUCCUUCAUCCAAGGAACUGAGAGAUUAUAUGGCUGGGAUCAGUUAUAAAAGGACUUAAGACUGAUACAUUGUAUUUAAAGAGAUAAAAUACUAUUAGACAACUGGUUUAAUACUUGUACUCUAUCUUAAGGGCAUGUGUACACCGUAAACAUCAGCUAAAUUUCAAAAGGACGGAUCACCUACAAUCAGUUGUAUGCUAAAAUCCAGCUUGUUAUGCCAAAAUUUCUGUUUCCAGUUUUUCAUAUGAAAAUGAUAUCAUUUAUUUUCAAAACCAAAGUGCUUAGAAAAGGGUAGCCAAUGCCCGUUGGGCG
Magnolia sinica is the source of this 2624-nucleotide long non-coding RNA. RefSeq lists it as uncharacterized. NCBI's taxonomy places the organism in Eukaryota, Viridiplantae, Streptophyta, Magnoliopsida, Magnoliales, Magnoliaceae. The transcript is spliced from 7 exons. The record is from RefSeq and is a predicted model, not a curated record.